Molecule: small RNA, 270 nt
Filed under: Arabidopsis thaliana (thale cress)
Lineage: Eukaryota; Viridiplantae; Streptophyta; Magnoliopsida; Brassicales; Brassicaceae
Description: ATSL014840
Source: RNAcentral
AUAUUAAUAUUAUAUUAUAAUUUGAUUAUUUGAUUAAAAAAGUAUUUUUGUUAAAAAAUUGAACUAAUAAUAAGAUGAAAAUUGUCAUGAUGGGUUGUAGAGAAUAUCUCAGAGUUUCUCAAGUGAGAAACUUUCUACACUCUCUCUUUCAUUUUCAUUAUUUUUAUUUUUUUAAUUGUGAGAAAUUCUUAUGAUAUAUCCUUAAUAGAGAUGGUUUUAGUGUGGUUUGAUUGGCUAUUUUGAUGUUAGUAGAGAAGUUUAUAAAUCAUA